RNAcentral lists this small nuclear RNA (107 nucleotides) under Tupaia belangeri chinensis (Chinese tree shrew). Lineage: Eukaryota; Metazoa; Chordata; Mammalia; Scandentia; Tupaiidae. The record is from RNAcentral.
GUGCUCGCUUCAGCAGCACAUAUGCUAAAACUGGACCAAUACAGAGAAGAUUGGCAUGGUCCCUACACAAGGAUGACACACAAAUUCAUGAAGCGUUCCAUAUUUUU